CCCAAAGUGCUAGGAUUAUAGGUGUGAGCCACCACUCCCGGCCCUACUAUUUGUUUUUUAUGUAUCCUCCACCUCCAUCACCACCAUAAUGUAGAGAAUGGCAGCAGUAGGGAGGCCUGCUGUCACACAGGUUUUAUCUGGCUCUUCUCUGACAAACCAACAAAAGGUGGGGUGUAAAUGACCUGAAAGGCUCUGAUUAGAACUAUUGAUUUUUCGUGCAGAAUCUAAAUCAACUAUCAUGGAAGGAACUGAUCGCCAGAUGUGCCAGCAGGAUGCCUGAAAGGCAACUUCCCCUAUUAGGUAGCCCUGUUAUUAUGAAUGUGUGACUUCAUUUUUCUGAAUCAAUUCUGUAUAACAGAACAGUAACUGUACAAAUAUAUAAAUAAAAUCUAAUCUUGUAAACUAGUGAGAAUACAAGUUUUUUUUUAAUAAACAUGGCUGUUAGGUUAAAAAAAAAAAAAAAAGACCCAGGUGAAAAAAGUGGGAAGAUUUUGUGAAUAACUUAGUGAGAGUGAACUAAGACAUCCAAGUUGAUUCUAAGGCUUCUUGUUUGAGACCAACAUUUGUUAAUAAGAGCAG
Molecule: long non-coding RNA, 579 nt
Filed under: Pan troglodytes (chimpanzee)
Lineage: Eukaryota; Metazoa; Chordata; Mammalia; Primates; Hominidae
Description: long non-coding RNA NONPTRT016468
Source: RNAcentral